This 292-nucleotide long non-coding RNA is filed under the name Carica papaya (papaya). RNAcentral describes it as "long non-coding RNA (CPAP_LNC006207)". The record is from RNAcentral. Lineage: Eukaryota; Viridiplantae; Streptophyta; Magnoliopsida; Brassicales; Caricaceae.
UAAUUAUUAUUAAUUUGAUAUUUUUUUACUUUGUUUUGUUUUGUUUAACUAUUCGCAGUUGAUUUUGUAGUGUAUGAUUAGAAGCAGUGAAUACCUAUUGAAUUUUUAUCCAGAAAUUGAUAGAACUUGCCACAAACUGCGAGCACACACAAGGAAUAAACGACUCCCCUAUCAUGUUAGAAAUUUGUUGAGAAGAGGAAGAACAACAAUGGCUGAUGAACAUGAGAAGCAAAGAAAGCACACAAUGAUGGAUUAUACUACUUCAUCUCUUACUAGAAUCGAACCAAAUAUC